AUGGCCGCGUCGGGAGGCUCGUCCGGCGGGUGCACAUGGCCGGACCUCCAGCCGGAGAUGUUGGGCGUCGUGCUCUCGCGGCUGCCGUCGCACGGCGACCGCGUCCGCUUCGCCGCAGUCUGCCGCCCAUGGCGCUCCAGCGCGCGGCUGCUGCGUCCGCUACCCCCGCUGCUCCCGUGGCUCGCCCUCUGCGACGGCACCUUCCUCAGCCUCCCCGACGGCGCCGACGACUUUGAUCCUUAUGAGACUGACGCGUACGGGCAGCGGCACUACCUCGUCGUCUCCGGCGAUCGGCUGCUGAUGGUGCAACGAUGGAUCAACCUGCCGCCAAUAUUUCCAAUCGACUCGGGGAUCGAGAAGCGGACUCGACUCUUCAAGGUCUUCCAAGCAACGGGCCUGAGCAGCGGCUGCGGACAAUGGACCGAGGUCGAUAGGUUGACAGGGUGCGCGCUCUUUGUCAGCGAAGGCUGCUCGGAGUCUCUCCCAGCCGGGGGUCAAUCUAGCGGCGUCGGAGUUCGAGAAGACUGCAUCUACUUCAUGAACGGCGACACUUGUGAGAAUCCCUUUCCAGACUCCGGCGUGUACAACAUGAGAGACCAGACAGUGGCGCCGUUGCUGCCGGCGACGGUGGCGGUGCCCGCAGCCGGCUACGGUCCAUGGUCUCCAACUUGGCUUUUCCCAGAGACUUGA
RNAcentral lists this ribosomal RNA (690 nucleotides) under Triticum aestivum (bread wheat). RNAcentral describes it as "partial small subunit ribosomal RNA". Lineage: Eukaryota; Viridiplantae; Streptophyta; Magnoliopsida; Poales; Poaceae. The record is from RNAcentral.